CCUACGGGAGGCAGCAGUGGGGAAUUUUGCGCAAUGGGGGCAACCCUGACGCAGCAACGCCGCGUGAUUGAAGAAGGCCUUCGGGGUGUAAAGAUCUGUAAGCGGGGACGAAACUUGACGGUACCCGAAGAAUAAGCACCGGCUAACUACGUGCCAGCAGCCGCGGUAAUACGUGGGGAGCAAGCGUUGUCCGGAAUUACUGGGUGUAAAGGGCUUGUAGGUGGGAAGUCAAGCCGGAAGUGAAAUAUGGGAGCUUAACCCCCACAGUGCAGUGGUAACUGGCGAGCUUGAGUGCGGGAGAGGUAGGUGGAAUUCCUGGUGUAGCGGUGAAAGGCGUAGAUAUUGGGAGGAACACCGGUGGCGUAAGCGGCUUGCUGGACCGUAACUGACGCUGAGGAGCGAAAGCGGGGGGAGCAAACGGGAUUAGAUACCCGUGUAGUC
Molecule: ribosomal RNA, 441 nt
Filed under: uncultured bacterium
Lineage: Bacteria
Description: partial 16S ribosomal RNA
Rfam family: Bacterial small subunit ribosomal RNA
Source: RNAcentral